GCUGUGAUGGCCGAGUGGUUAAGGCGUUGGACUCGAAAUCCAAAGACUGCUUGCAAUC
This 58-nucleotide transfer RNA is filed under the name Gorilla gorilla gorilla (western lowland gorilla). It matches the Rfam family "tRNA", at positions 1 to 58 of the family's 71-position model. From Rfam's summary of the family: Transfer RNA (tRNA) molecules are approximately 80 nucleotides in length. Their secondary structure includes four short double-helical elements and three loops (D, anti-codon, and T loops). The record is from Rfam by way of RNAcentral. Lineage: Eukaryota; Metazoa; Chordata; Mammalia; Primates; Hominidae.